UUGCGAGGGCACCAUACGAGGGUUUGACUGCAACAAGCAGCGCUAUCUCGUGGACCUGGGUGAGAAGUCCCUCUCGUUGCGUGCCAC
This 87-nucleotide non-coding RNA is filed under the name Alexandrium minutum. The record is from RNAcentral. Lineage: Eukaryota; Dinophyceae; Gonyaulacales; Pyrocystaceae.